RNAcentral lists this ribosomal RNA (229 nucleotides) under uncultured bacterium. RNAcentral's name for it is "partial 16S ribosomal RNA". It matches the Rfam family "Bacterial small subunit ribosomal RNA", at positions 568 to 796 of the family's 1533-position model. The record is from RNAcentral.
CGUGUAGGCGGUUGAUUAAGUUAGUUGUCAAAUUCCCCAGCUUAACUGGGGGUCGGCAAUUAAUACUGGUUGACUAGAGAGCAAGAGAGAGAAGCGGAAUUCUCGGAGUAGCGGUAAAAUGCAUAGAUCUCGAGAGGAACACCGGUGGCGAAGGCGGCUUCUUGGCUUGUAUCUGACGCUAAAGCGCGAAAGCGUGGGGAGCAAACAGGAUUAGAUACCCUGGUAGUCC